UAUUUCGAUCGCUACUAUACAGUCAAUGGCGGCUACACGCAGUGAAACUCAAUUUGGCGUUGCGACAACAAGGAGGCCCCGUUGAUAAAAGUAUAAAUAUAAAUGUAUUAAAGCACAAAUUAAGGUAUGUAAGGCAAUUAGUCAUGUCAUAGUGUCUCACUUAGUUCGCAGACUGGUUAUUUGAAGACACGUGUGCACAGUGGUAAGUGGGGUGGUAGUGCUUGGGGGUCUCGGGAGAGAAUCGCAGAACAUAGCCAUACAGCUAAAAGUCAUAGAAGUUUUUUGUUUUUGUUUUACAUGUUUAUUUGUUAUUUGAUUUUGUUUUUUUUCAGCAGUAUGAUGUGACAUCAUUGUUGACGCCAGAUUGUUGAUGUCCUUCAACAAUCUGGCAUGUCCAACCAUGGUAUGAGUCAUAUGUGACUAAGUUGACCAAACAGGGCAAUUGCAACAAUGGAAUUAGUCAGUGGUAAACAACACAUUCAUUCCUGAGGAUAGUUUUCAGUUUAUUUAUGCUUAUUCAUGAUUGAAAUUUGCCAUGUUUUCUGGCUAACUGGAAGGAUUCUUCUUUUUCACAGAACUUUACCAUUUUCAUGGUAUACUUAAUUGCUUGUCGGUGGAUUGUCACUUGGCAUCAUUUGAAUGGUAUGGUCCAUAUCAGCAGUGUUAUGAUGCACUUUUUAAGUACACCAAUCCCUGAGAAAAUAUUCUAAUUGAAAUUAUGGAAAUUUCUGCCCUUUGUGCAGAACUGCGCAAGGAUGGGUUCGUAUAAACAAGCUUGAAAUAACAAACCAACAGUAUUUUUGGUUUGGCUUUUACAUACAACUCUAUGACAUGUUGAUGUUAGCUAAAUUGUUAUUAAUCAUAGGAUUAGGUAGUAUGCAAUGAAAUAUCUUCUCUUGGAAGUUUGUGUCAAUGGAAUUGUUUGAUAUGACUUGAGGCAGGAAGCUUUUCCUGCUUCUUACGAAAAGGGACAUUGGAUGCCUUAAUGUCUAAUACCAACCAAGUGUCAUUGCAAAGAUAGGUAAAAGAUAUAUCAAUAUAGAUUUUACUCUGAGUGAUGGUGACAUAUGGUAAAAGAUAGAGCAGUAUGAAUAUGUGCUGCAUCAUUUACGUCUAUUAUUUAUAUCUUCAAGGUAUCUUACUGACUUCUAUUAGUUUUAUUCGUGGAAAGAAUAUCUUGAGUGUGAGAAUUGGAUCACAAUUGACUAGAUGUUUUACUAUUUUAAACGAGUUCAUGACAAAGAAUUUUUUACUCAUUCUUGUUCUGUUUUUGUAAUGUAGGUAGAAUAAUCGCAAUGUCGUGGUAGUAUUUCGCGAGAGAUGUGCCAAUAGGGUUUCGCUGUUUUCAGUAAAUGUAUUAGCAAGAACAUUAUACUGAAGCAUACUCUAUUUCUUUAAUGUAGAUUUGCAAUCGUAAUGGAUUCGAAGAUGAUCUUGAUGGAGGUUCGGUAUUAAAAAGUAUAAGUACAUGUUCGUUGGAAGGGCAACCGAAGAGUUCCGGAUCCUUUUACUAUCGCACAUGUUAUGGUAUUUUUACAAAAUCAUUGAAGUGCUUAUCUGGACUCCCUUGUUUUCUAGGCCCCGUUUCACCUUGACUUGUAUAAUUUUCUUUAACCCUUUAGUGCGUGUAAAACUAAAGGCUAAAAGUAGAAGAAUGAUUCAAAAUUGUGGGAGAGAAUCAUCAAAUAACUAUACUCGUUUAGGUAAUCCAAGGAAAUAAGAAAGAGUAUUAACUCGGCGCAGUCUUGAUUCCAUCUUUUCAAAAGUUUUUACUGUGCAUGGAACUUUUUGGUCGAGACGUUAUGGGUGUCUUAAAGGCACUGAAGGUUGCGUUAGAUGUCAUAAUCCCCAACAAAAAGGAAAAGCUGAAAAUCCCAGGUGACGAUAAGAAUUAGUGGCAAUGUUACGGUGUAUAUAACUUCAGAAAAUGUGACGCUAGCUGAUGUAAACCACACCAGCUGUGCUGCUGCCGAGUCUGUCUCACUUUUGCCGCCUAUGUAUCUUUUCUAACAAAAUUUUUCUUAUCAAAUUUUCCUUUUGUUAACUGAUUCUCAUUUAGCAGGAAAAGGUUGUGAGAGUAGCAGAAGAAGAGGGAAUUGCAAUAAACCCAGUAUGAAAGAAGCCAAACAUUGCGAUAAUAUAGGAGCCCAGCCUGAGGAAACAAAAACCCUAUGUUUCAGAUAAAAGACAAAAGGAACACAUCAUUCCUCAGCUGCUUCUGAGGACCACUGUCACCGAAAGAAAAUCACCUCGCUUAUAGACUCGGAAGGUGAAAGCGAGAUCCAAAAAUUUGCCACAACGAAGCAAGUAAAAAGUAUUUUGGCAGAUUAUCGUGCACGCGAAGCUAAAUAGUCAAUUCAAUAAAAUUUCCUUAACACAUUUUAAAUUACCA
This is a long non-coding RNA of Daphnia magna, 2392 nucleotides long. RefSeq lists it as uncharacterized. The record is from RefSeq and is a predicted model, not a curated record. The transcript has 4 exons. Lineage: Eukaryota; Metazoa; Arthropoda; Branchiopoda; Diplostraca; Daphniidae.